Molecule: ribosomal RNA, 796 nt
Filed under: uncultured bacterium
Lineage: Bacteria
Description: bacterial SSU rRNA
Rfam family: Bacterial small subunit ribosomal RNA
Source: RNAcentral
GGGGAAUAUUGCACAAUGGGGGAAACCCUGAUGCAGCGACGCCGCGUGGAGGAAGAAGGUCUUCGGAUUGUAAACUCCUGUUGUUGAGGAAGAUAAUGACGGUACUCAACAAGGAAGUGACGGCUAACUACGUGCCAGCAGCCGCGGUAAAACGUAGGUCACAAGCGUUGUCCGGAAUUACUGGGUGUAAAGGGAGCGCAGGCGGGAGAACAAGUUGGAAGUGAAAUCCAUGGGCUCAACCCAUGAACUGCUUUCAAAACUGUUUUUCUUGAGUAGUGCAGAGGUAGGCGGAAUUCCCGGUGUAGCGGUGGAAUGCGUAGAUAUCGGGAGGAACACCAGUGGCGAAGGCGGCCUACUGGGCACCAACUGACGCUGAGGCUCGAAAGUGUGGGUAGCAAACAGGAUUAGAUACCCUGGUAGUCCACACCGUAAACGAUGAUUACUAGGUGUUGGAGGAUUGACCCCUUCAGUGCCGCAGUUAACACAAUAAGUAAUCCACCUGGGGAGUACGACCGCAAGGUUGAAACUCAAAGGAAUUGACGGGGGCCCGCACAAGCAGUGGAGUAUGUGGUUUAAUUCGACGCAACGCGAAGAACCUUACCAAGUCUUGACAUCCCUUGACGAUACUGGAAACAGUAUUUCUCUUCGGAGCAAGGAGACAGGUGGUGCAUGGUUGUCGUCAGCUCGUGUCGUGAGAUGUUGGGUUAAGUCCCGCAACGAGCGCAACCCUUAUGGUCAGUUACUACGCAAGAGGACUCUGGCCAGACUGCCGUUGACAAAACGGAGGAAGGUGGGG